CACAGAGUGGACCAGAAGAGCUCAGAGGUUCCCAGUGGUCAGUCUUCCCAGCAGCAUCAGACACACCUGGACUCUAUAUUUAUGAUGCUGGAGGACAAAAUAAUCUCUUUUGUGAAGAACGAGCUGAAGAACAUCCAGACAAGUCUGAGUCCAGAGGACCUACAAUGUUUUAAGAGUCAAUGUGAGGAUGACGCUGUAUUACAGAGUGUGGAUGAAGAACAGAGUACGAGCAGCAGAGAAGCAUUUAUGAUGAUUACAGUGGACUUCCUGAAGAGAAUGAAGCAGAAUAAGUUCGCUGAGCGUUUGCUGACAAGAACCUGCACUCGGAACUUCCAGUGGCAUCAGCAUGAAUUUAAAUCUAACAUGAAGAAGAAGUUCCAGUGUGUGUUUGAGGGGAUCGCUAAAGCAGGA
Non-coding RNA from Neolamprologus brichardi, 411 nucleotides. Lineage: Eukaryota; Metazoa; Chordata; Actinopteri; Cichliformes; Cichlidae. The record is from RefSeq and is a predicted model, not a curated record.